GAUCCUACGGGGCGCAGCAGUGGGGAAUAUUGGGCAAUGGGCGCAAGCCUGACCCAGCAACGCCGCGUGAAGGAAGAAGGCUUUCGGGUUGUAAACUUCUUUUCUCAGGGACGAAGCAAGUGACGGUACCUGAGGAAUAAGCCACGGCUAACUACGUGCCAGCAGCCGCGGUAAUACGUAGGUGGCAAGCGUUAUCCGGAUUUACUGGGUGUAAAGGGCGUGUAGGCGGGAAAGCAAGUCAGAUUUUAAAGCCAUUGGCUCAACCUGUGGCCUUCAUUU
Molecule: ribosomal RNA, 279 nt
Filed under: uncultured bacterium
Lineage: Bacteria
Description: partial 16S ribosomal RNA
Rfam family: Bacterial small subunit ribosomal RNA
Source: RNAcentral